UAGAUACCGUCACCCCGCCUAUUUCUGCCGUCAAGCAGCGUUUCGGUUUGAAGGGUGGGGCAGCCGUUGUAACUAUACUGAGACCUUAGAACUUAUAUGUCAAGGUGAGUGGCGCAUUUACAUUGUAGAUGUCUAUGGGCUCCAGUUACCACUUAACACCAAGUGGGCUGUGAGCUCGUCCACCCAUCUAAGCAAUAAAAAAAAUAAAAAAACGCAACACUCAUGCCUUUGUGCCAGAAAAAAGCAGGAUGGUGAUAUAUACCCGUGUAGCGGCAGCUAUUGUAUAUUAGACUAAAAGAUAUCUGAUAAUUUCCUGAAUCGCGCUAACGACAUUUUCUUAAGCUUGCAGGUAUUCAAGUUCGGAACAGUAGCAUUGGGACUGUCGGCCCACUGUGCAACUUCACCCGCUCUUCCCGUUGUCACUUACAGCAAACCCGGCAGAAAUUUGAACACUGUUUUUUUCAAACAUCAACACAAAGCCUGAACGAACCAUUUCACUUCACGUGAAGUGAAACCUGUAUGUAUAGUACAACGGCUGCCCAACCCUUCGAACCGAAACGCAAUACUGCUUCACGGUAAAUUUCUGCCGUAGGUGAUGGUACCUACCCGUGCGGACUCACAAGGUCCUACCAUCAGUAAUUACGCAAAUUAUAAUUUUGCGGGUUUAAUUUUAUUACACGAUGUUAUUCGUUCACCGUGGAAGCCAAUCGUGAACAUUUGAUGGGUGCCGACAUUCAAGUUAUGACGACUAUAACCACUUAACACCAGGCGGACCACGACUUAGACGAACGAUGUACUUUAGUAAAAAAUGGAUGAAGAUGAAAUUCGGAGGAAGCAAGGAAAAAUCUUUUGAUCUAAAAAUCAAUUUCCAGUUGCAAGAACAGUUCCGAUGGUUACUGAUAUAUUUUAACGUAUUUUCUCUUACGAUCUUGCUCUAUAUAGAUUAGGGUCGUCGGAAUUAUCUGAAAUAUGUUUUUGUUAUUGUAUUUUCGGAGUUGUACAAACAUUUGUCGAUUUUACUUAAAAACGCUUACCCUUUAAUUUUAUUCGUUAACAUUUUCCCAAUACUUUGGUGACUAUGGACACAGAAAGAUUUAGAAUAAGAAACACUUCAACUGACCCCUAAAAUUAUAUUAUUUUAACUGAAGCUCUCUUGUUAUGGAAAUUUAGUAAAAACUACUAUUUUAUUAUAGUAUUAAUAUAUACAUAGAGGUGUGCAAAGAUUCGCAACACGUAUAAUAAAUAUUUAGUUAACGAAUUUCGUUACAUUGUCUGUCUCAUUAAUGAAAUAAUAUGAUAAUGCACCCUGAAUAUUUUUUAAGCUUCAGCGAAAUCGAUGCUUUGCCAUGGAAAUAGGAAAGUAGGAGGUGUUCCCAUCCGCGUAGGCUCCGUACACAAAGAGAACUCAAUUUCAAUUUACUUUGUCGGCUGUCUUUCUAGGAACAGAAGACCCAAGUAAUUUAUGUUCGUGAAUUUGUAUGCAAUUUCCCCCGGAUGUGGGAGAUUACAUCGCUAAAGCAAUAAGCGUGGUGAAUGGUCGGUCGGUACUAACUCGCUUAGGUUGGAACAAAGUUUUUGAUGAGUCUUGUGGUUACUUGUUUAAAUUAUGUUUUUAUUGCACGGUCCUCCAGAUACCGAAUUGCAUUAACUGUUUUGCCUCUAUUUUGUGUAUUAAUCUGAUAAAAUCGCUAGAAGUUUUUCGUCAUUGUUAAGAAAAAGUAAUUUGGCUUGGCCGGAUUUGUUAGCUAAGUGACGAUAUCAAAAUACUUUAUGAUGAGAUAGAUAUUAAUAGCACACGAUUCGUCUCUAAGGGAGAGUAAUGACCUUCUCGAUUUCCUAAUUCAUCCCACACAAAAACAACAACAUUUCUUAUAUUAAAUGAAACUGAUUUUCUCUGGUAAUGGUAUUUAUUAUAUUGCUAUUAUAAUAAUAUGUUGAACGUGUGUGUUUGUUUUUUUUUAACUAGAUCAAAAUCGCUUUGGCUUUAGUUCUAGGGAGUAAUUACAUUUCCAUUUUUUUAGCGAUAUUCCUAAAUCCUUGACUUAUGUUAACUAUUUAAGUAUACUAGAGGUCCCGCAGUGACGGGGGAUCCGGGGAGACUGCGCGUGGGCUGGAUAGCGGCCCACGUGCGUCUCCAAGAACCACGUGCCUGGCGAUGCCUCCGAUGCUUCAGCGCGGGGCACGGCCUCGCUAGGUGCACCAGCUCGGUUGACCGCAGCGGUCUGUGCUUCCGUUGCGGCCAACCGGGCCACAAAGCGGCGUCCUGCACGGCCGCCCCGCACUGCGCUCUGUGCGCUGCGGCCGGGCGCAGGGCAAACCACCGGGCGGGAGGCAAGGCGUGUUUCCCGUCCGGUGAUAACACCGAACGAAACCGGCGCCGGAAAUCAAAGCGCCGGCAAAAGAGAAGGUUGGCCAGAGGAGCACUGGUCAACGUUGUAAUCCCCGUUGCGGCGCCGGUGCCGGAGAGCGGGGGCAGCGGUGAAGGGGAGGGGGCGAUGGAUGUGGUCCAACAGUAAUGGACCGCACCUAUCGCUUCCUCCAAGGAAACCUUAACCACUCCGCCAGAGCUCAGGACAUGCUGUCUCAGAGCAUGGCGGAGUGGUCCAUAGAUGUGGCUGUGGUCGCCGAGCCGUACUUCGUUCCCCCGGCAAAUGAUUGCUGGUUUGGGGACGAUGGCGGCCUGGCGGCCAUAGUCAUAAGAAGAGACGCGGCGAUCCCCCCCUGGCGAUGGUGACCAGGGGCCAAGGGUUCGUCGCAGUGCAGCUGGAAGGGACCGUCGUGAUCGGGGCAUACUUCUCUCCGAACAGGCCUACCGUCGAGUUCGGGCAUUUCCUGGGCAGGAUCGGGGCGAUUGCUCGCCGCCUCGCUCCUCGUCCAGUGAUUCUCGCGGGGUACCUCAAUGCGAAGUCUGUCGCAUGGGGCUCCCCCCGCUCGGACGCUCGGGGUAGGCUACUGGAGAGGUGGGCGAACGCGGCCGGCCUCUGUUUGUUGAAUAGAGGGUCGGUUGCGACGUGCGUGCGGUGGCAGGGCGAGUUCAUUGUGGACGUUACUUUUGCGAGCCCGGCCAUCGCGCGCCGUAUCCGCGACUGGAGGGUUUUGGAGGGGGCGGAGACGCUGUCAGAUCACCGAUAUAUUCGGUUUGAUCUCUCCGCCCGCUCCGCAGUCGCGGACGCUUACGGUGACUACCCACAUGGUGCGCCCCGGUCAUUCCCCAGGUGGGCAUUGAAGCGCCUGAAUAAGGCGCUACUGAUGGAAGCCUCUACGGUGGCGGCGUGGACGCCCAUGCGUCCAUAUCCGGUUGAGGUCGAGCGCGAAGCGGGGUGGUUCCGGGACACGAUGUGACGCAUCUGCGACGUAUCGAUGCCCCGGAUCAGCCCUCGGCCUCCCAAUCGCCAGGUGUACUGGUGGUCGCCCGAAAUCGCGCAACUCCGCGUGGAGUGCGUUCGGGCGAGGCGCGAGUGCGCCAGGCAUCGCCGCCGUCGCUUGCCGCGGUGCAACGAUCCGGUUGUGUUCGCGGUGGUGGAGGCCCGGCUGUACGGCACAUUUCGCGUCGCGCAGAGGGCUUUGUAGCUGGCCAUCAGAAAAGCCAAGAACCAACACAUGGAGGGUCUCUUGGAGACGCUGGAUGAGGAUCCGUGGGGGCGACCCUAUCAUAUGGUGCACAAUAAAAUGCGCCCAUGGGCCCCCCCAAUCACGGAGCGUCUCCAGCCACAGCAGUUGCGGACAUCGUCUCGGCGCUGUUCCCGCAGGAGCGGGAGGGAUUUAUCGCUCCCGCUAUGGACGUCCCGUCGGAAAACGGCGGCGACGCCUCUGCUGAGGUGCCCCAUAUAACGGGGGCGGAGCUCCAUGUGGCCGUGCGUAAAAUGUGCGCGAAGGACACUGCGCCCGGUCCGGACGGCGUCCAUGGCCGGGUUUGGGCCUUGGCUCUUGGUGCCCUGGGGGACCGACUCUUGAGGCUUUACAACUCCUGCCUCGAGUCGGGACGGUUUCCUUCAUCGUGGAGGACGGGCAGACUCGUGCUGUUGAGAAAGGAGGGGCGCCCGGCGGAUACUGCCGCCGGGUACCGUCCCAUCGUGUUGCUGGAUGAGGUGGGCAAGCUGCUGGAACGCAUUCUGGCGGUCCGCAUCAUUCAGCAUCUGGUCGGGGUGGGUCGAGGCGGAUCUCGCCCAAGCCCUGGCCCUCUAAGUGUUUCGGGUCUCCCUCACAUGUCGGCCUGGGGACCGAGGAAGGGGGCCUAAGAAGACGACGUGCAAGCUGCUCUGCACGCGUUUUAUGCAUGAGCAUCCGGGCGAUGGAAGGCCGGCUAUCCUCAACCCACGCUGGUUCUGACCCAGUGGGGUAUUCCGUAGGAUAGACCAUUCUAACCGGCGCCAUCUAGGCGGGCUUCGGAUAGCCUGCCGACCGAGAGGUCUGGUGGUCGUGGCGCCGACGACCGCCAGUCCGGCGUCCCGAGGGGGAGGGUGAUGGGAGAGAUGUGCUCCGCACUAAACGCUUCACUUUCCCCCCUUGCCUUUUCAUGAGUUUUGUCUCAUGCGAGGUUUGGACGUUGGUUGUUGAGAGACAGGAGGUUUUAGUCGGUUCGACUCCGACAUGCCCCGCCUUCCAUCCCCAGUGAAGGGCGGAAGAAAAAAAAAAAAAAAAAAAAACGCAGUAUAAUUGACCGCAGACUAUAAUUAAUUGGAAUUGUAAGUGUAAGUGUAUUCUCAAUUUGACAACAGACGUCAAGAACAAAAGUUUGACAAUAAAUAGUAUGCAUGCGUGUGUGCGUCAAAUACAUGGUAUGUAGUGUGUGUAAUGUUUUCUUUAUUGAUUUAAAGUAUCUUUUAUGCAUUAUUUAAAAAAAAUAUUAGCAUUGUGCACUUCUUCUCUAUAUUCUCUAUAAGUGUGGAAAAUUUCAUACUCCUCCGUCCGCGCAAUUUUCGUAAAAAGGGAUACAAAGUUUUUGCUUCACGUAUUAAUAUAUAGAUAUCCUAUAUUGUCCUAAAUAGACAACUGUAAUAAUAAAAACGCUUUCGGUUCACGCUAAAUAUCAGUUUUGUUACUCGUUCUGACCUCUGUUGCACUGUGUACCUACUAAUACACAAAACUAAUAUUUCGUAAUAGGUAAAAAUCGUUGUGUAUAAUGAUAGAUAGAUAGGCAUAUAAAAUACUGUUACAUCAGACACAAGAUACAGCGAAUUUGUGUCUACAGAUAACGUGACAAUGUGCGAUCUUUUUUGGUAAUAAAAUUUUCUUUGAGACAUCCCUGAGAUGGAAAGCAUUACCCGAAAAGUAGACCUGAAAGGAGGUGGAUACUCAUAUAAAUGAAUAACAUCUUCCAUCAAAUAGAUGUAUUGUUACGCGCUGGGGUUCGGGAUAAAUAAAAUUCUACCGAAGUACAAAUUAAAAACUAUAUUCAACACUUAGAACACUUAAAACACUUUGAAAUUCUCGAUUCGCUUCUUCCGCUUCGCUUCAGGUGACCCGUUCGCUGUUUCGCUUCGAGUAGUUCCGAUUACUGACUGACUGCGUGCCAUCUCUGCAACGCUGUUAUAGCCGAUACCACAUCCCUAGAAUUAUCGAGAAUAUUACACACAUUACGAAUAUUGUGUUUCCGCUAUCUGACAAUAAAUGGCGUUGUACUUCUCGAGCGUUCUAGGUCCUUCGAUAUACGUUCGACUAUUCGGCGAUAGAUGGCGUUACUACUUUCAUAAAUCUUGUAUAAUUAAUUUCUUUUAUAGGAAAUUCUAAAUGAGUUUACAGUUUCGAAUUUGUAAAUGAUUUUUGUCAUAUAAAAAUCAUUCUAGUUCUGUGCAACGAAAUUUAUACGAACACGUAGUAUGAUUUCGUGUAUAAGCGUGACUUGGCGCGAUCAAUCCCUCUUAUGAUCGGAAGGGAGCAUUUGUCAAGGGUUGUUUGAGGAGUCUCAGAAAGAAUUAUGGAACUCGACAAUAUAAAUGCACACUGCGAACUGAGAAACUUAUUCGGCUUUAGUGUACCAUUUCAAAAAUUAGUGUUUUUUGCACUAGAUAAAUUAUUUCAAAUUAAUAAUUUAUAUUAUUACAAUGUUGAAAAAAUCAGAUUUGCUUAUUCAAAUAAUAGUCAUAUUAUUACAAAACAGGAUAAUAGAGCAUAAUUUUGUACAAAAAAAUAAUUUAAAUUAUGUAGUAUUUUCAAGAUAUGUAUGUACCAUGUACAUAAUAUGUAUUAUAGUAAUAAAAUGAAAAUACAUUUAA
Long non-coding RNA from Bombyx mori (domestic silkworm), 6215 nucleotides. RefSeq lists it as uncharacterized. NCBI's taxonomy places the organism in Eukaryota, Metazoa, Arthropoda, Insecta, Lepidoptera, Bombycidae. The record is from RefSeq and is a predicted model, not a curated record. The transcript has 3 exons.